GAUGAACGCUGGCGGCGUGCCUAAUACAUGCAAGUCGAGCGAACAGACGAGGAGCUUGCCUCUCUGCCGUUAGCGGCGGACGGGUGAGUAACACGUGGAUAACCUACCUAUAAGACUGGGAUAACUUCGGGAAACCGGAGCUAAUAUCGGAUAAUAUAUUGAACCGCAUGGUUCAAUAGUGAAAGACGGUUUUGCUGUCACUUAUAGAUGGAUCCGCGCUGCAUUAGCUAGUUGGUAAGGUAACGGCUUACCAAGGCAACGAUGCGUAGCCGACCUGAGAGGGUAAUCGGCCACACUGGAACUGAGACACGGUCCAGACUCCUACGGGAGGCAGAGGUGGGAAAUCUUCCGCAAUGGGCGAAGGCCUAACGAAGCAACGCCGCGUGGGUGAUAAAGGUCUUCGGAUCGUAAAACUCUGUUAUUGGGGAAGAACAAAUGUGUAAGUAACUAUGCACGUCUUAACGGUACCAAAUCAGAAAGCCACGGCUAACUACUU
This 496-nucleotide ribosomal RNA is filed under the name uncultured bacterium. Its description in RNAcentral is "partial 16S ribosomal RNA". It matches the Rfam family "Bacterial small subunit ribosomal RNA", at positions 28 to 506 of the family's 1533-position model. The record is from RNAcentral.